CAACCCUCAAGCUCUGCUUGGUAUUGGGUGCCGUCCUUAGUUGGGCGCGCCUCAAAGACCUCGGCGGUGGCGUCUUGCCUCAAGCGUAGUAGAACAUACAUCUCGCUUCGGAGCGCAGGGCGUCGCCCGCCGGACGAACCUUCUGAACUUUUCUCAA
RNAcentral lists this unclassified non-coding RNA (157 nucleotides) under Botryosphaeria dothidea. Its description in RNAcentral is "sequence contains ITS2". The record is from RNAcentral. Lineage: Eukaryota; Fungi; Ascomycota; Dothideomycetes; Botryosphaeriales; Botryosphaeriaceae.